UGCAUAUCCAAUAAGCGGAGGAAAAGAAACCAACAGGGAUUGCCUCAGUAGCGGCGAGUGAAGCGGCAAGAGCUCAGAUUUGAAAUCUCACCUAGUGUGCGAGUUGUAAAUUGCAGGUUGGAGUCUCGGGUUAGACGUGUGUGCAAGUCCCUUGGAACAGGGUGCCACUGAGGGUGAGAGCCCCGUAGCGUGCAUGUCGACACCUGUGAGGCCCUUCUGACGAGUCGAGUUGUUUGGGAAUGCAGCUCUAAGUGGGUGGUAAAUUCCAUCUAAGGCUAAAUAUUGGCGAGAGACCGAUAGCGAACAAGUACUGUGAAGGAAAGAUGAAAAGCACUUUGAAAAGAGAGUGAAACAGCACGUGAAAUUGUUGAAAGGGAAGGGUAUUGGGCUCGACAUGGGAUUUACGCAUCGUUGCCUCUCGUGGGCGGCGCUCUGGGUUUUUCCUGGGCCAGCAUCGGUUUUCGUUGCAGGAUAAGGACAAUUGGAAUGUGGCUCCUCGGAGUGUUAUAGCCUUUUGUAGAUGCUGCGUAUGGGGACCGAGGGCUGCGGCGGACUCGUUUCGUCUCGGAUGCUGGCACAACGGCGCAAUACCGCCCGUCUUGAACCACGGACCA
This 614-nucleotide ribosomal RNA is filed under the name Pichia kluyveri. Its description in RNAcentral is "eukaryotic LSU rRNA". It matches the Rfam family "Eukaryotic large subunit ribosomal RNA", at positions 37 to 668 of the family's 3401-position model. Lineage: Eukaryota; Fungi; Ascomycota; Pichiomycetes; Pichiales; Pichiaceae. The record is from RNAcentral.